UACGGAGGGUGCAAGCGUUAUCCGGAUUUACUGGGUUUAAAGGGUGCGUAGGCGGAUUAUUAAGUCCGUGGUGAAAUCUUUGGGCUCAACCCAAAAAUUGCCAUUGAUACUAUUAGUCUUGAAUGUAGUUGAGGUGGGCGGAAUGAGUCAUGUAGCGGUGAAAUGCUUAGAUAUGACUCAGAACACCAAUUGCGAAGGCAGCUCACUAAACUAAUAUUGACGCUGAGGCACGAAAGCGUGGGGAGCAAACAGG
Molecule: ribosomal RNA, 253 nt
Filed under: uncultured bacterium
Lineage: Bacteria
Description: partial 16S ribosomal RNA
Rfam family: Bacterial small subunit ribosomal RNA
Source: RNAcentral